UGGGGAAGAGACGAUUGCAGCCAGGGAUGAAGCACCUUCCAAAUUUGGGCUAUCGAAUGAAAUAGAGAGAGAGAUAGACAGAAGCACCUUCCAAUUUGUGGGCAAGAGGCGUUUGCAGCCAUGGAUGAAGCACCUGCUUUGAAAAGUUAUCUGCCCUUUCUGCUGAUUGGAUGAAUUGUGGAGAAGAUUUUUUGAGAAGAUGGAGUAUAAUUUUGAGUGAAUAACGCUGAGUGAAUUCAAAUAGUAGCAAAUUUGGGAGAAAUAUUUUGGAGAAGAUGAUGGGCUCUUUGAAAUCUCUUAAUUAAUGAGAUUAGGAGAUUAAUGAUCCCCUUGUGAUGUGGUGAUUGCCUUAUAUAAACAAAUGAAACGCCUUUUUUUAUGAUUAGGGAGAGGGGGGAAGAAAUAGAGAAAUUAAGAAACGCCUAUUUAUGAAACGCCUUUGGCUUAGAAGAAUUCAAAGAGGAAGAAAUAGAGGUUUCAAAGAGGAAGAAAUAGAGGUUUUUGAGAGCGCCACGUAGGAGAGAGAGUGGAUGUGAGCUCUCAAAAAUGUAUUCCAUUAUAUAAUAGAU
This 569-nucleotide long non-coding RNA is filed under the name Salvia miltiorrhiza (redroot sage). RNAcentral's name for it is "long non-coding RNA (SMIL_LNC014192)". Lineage: Eukaryota; Viridiplantae; Streptophyta; Magnoliopsida; Lamiales; Lamiaceae. The record is from RNAcentral.